UCACCACACCACGAGCGCGAGUUCUCAAUAUGGCGGAUGUGCUCCUGCUGCUGCAUACGAUUAUUGGUACGAUCCACCGGGCCCGUGCAACGCUGGAGCCUAUGAGGUCGUGCUCCUGUGUUCUCGCCUCCUAUUCGAUUUUCUCUCCAGUCAUCAUAUUCGUUCCUAUGCGUUGCUGAUAGGAAAAACAGACUUUUCGUGUUCGUGAUUGCCGGAGCACAUGCAGGAGAGGGCAGAACAGUAGAUUAUUUGUGCCCGCCGUGUAGCAAAGGUUCAGAAUAAACAAUACAGAAGAUUUUUGAUAAUUAAGAGAUUACACACCGCUGUGUCCUUAAUCUGGUCGGAUGUUACUACGAAGCCGCGUGAACCGAGGCAUAGCCCGGAUGGUUGCCGGGUGCUGAUACCUGUGCUACCCGUGAGAUCCUGAGUUCGAGUGCUAGCGCCCGCUCUCUCAUUGUACACACCAAAAUAUCAUCUAUUGAAUUGCUUGGAGGGCUUCUUACCCCCCAAGUCGCAUUUUUCUAUACGAAGCCGCUAUUAGUUGCACUCCCACUUGGAUAUUUCUUAUCAUUUAUUUAUCAUUUGAACUUAUGUGCACUACAUAUAAUUUGUUUGUCCAGAUAGAGAUGAGAGUACAUAGGGUCUUCAGUCUUCACCUCCCUAUGGAUGAACAUUACAGCACGUUGCUGGCUUUAAUAGAUUCGCCUCCUACAUGUAUGAUUUACAGUUUGUUUAUACAUUCAGUUUUACCUAGAUUAACAACGCCGUCCAUCUUGAGCCCCCGGUAGAUGUACUGAUAAGAAAAUUUAUGUAUCACUUCAGUUAUAGAAUCUAUUUAUUUUUUCUUCUAGUUAUGUCUCGUUACUAUUUUUUCAACUUUUGCAGCCAACAGGUAAAUCAAGCUCCUGUUCUGAAGAUAUGUCUAUGAGAAGUAUUUGCUAAAUUAUCAAGUUCUAAAUGACACACUUCUAUUUGGUAUACCUGCAUAUUGUUUACGCUGCAGGAAGACAAGCAGUGUGGUUGCCGGCGGUGCCUGCUACUAGAGCGACAACGCUACAAGUUCUCUCUUAGUUUUAUUUUCCUUCUCUUCUUCCAUUCAUUGUGGUUGAGGUGCUGCAAAUGAGAUGUCUAGAAUGACACAGCAUGCUUUUCAUGUUGUUUACCAUAGUUUUCCAGAAAAGGGGGAAAACACCAGGGCUAAUAUAAGUGGUAUAUUAGCCGUAACACCAAUGACUGUUAAAAUUUUGCACUGUCACCUUAGUUUGGUAACCGUCUGGAUAUUUUAUUCACAUAGAUAUUUUGUUCACAAUAUGUUGCAUACGGAGUAGCAAUUAAAUCCAAUUUCUCAUGUUGUGUGGUACAUCAAGAUAAUAAAUAAUUCAGUAUAUUUUCCACUAAGACAAGCCUAAAUAUAAGUUAAGGCGAAGAGAAAUAUUUUCGCUCUCAUAUACUAUAUCCUGUAACCGACAAGCAGGCUGAGCGUACAAGUUUAUGUGAUUUACAAGUUUUGCAGGACAGAAUAUUUAAUGGUGGGGCCAAGCAGCUACAAGUUUAUGUACUUUACAAGUUUUGCAGGAGAGAAUAUUUAAUGGUGGGAUCAACCAGCUACAUGUUUAUGCUGAGUGCAUGGAGCAAAUUGAAUAAAUUGACUUUGGGAAGGUCGAUUCCAAGCACCAUCAAGGGAGGCAAACGGCACAAUGCACGACAUAGUUAGGGUUUUCUUCUUAAUAAUACAUAAAGUAAUUUUGGAGAUGAACACCCUAUUUUCCUUUUCAGAUACCUCCUGGACGGUGUAACUAUGUCUUAUAUACAAGCAAAAGAUCACCAUGCUAUGCAGCAAGGCGGAGUAAAAUUAUUUAUGUUCCACUA
Long non-coding RNA from Lolium rigidum, 1869 nucleotides. RefSeq lists it as uncharacterized. Lineage: Eukaryota; Viridiplantae; Streptophyta; Magnoliopsida; Poales; Poaceae. The transcript has 2 exons. The record is from RefSeq and is a predicted model, not a curated record.